GACGAACGCUGGCGGCGCGCUUAACACAUGCAAGUCGAGCGAAGCGGCGGACGGGUGAGUAACACGUGAGUAACCUGCCUUAGACAUUGGGAUAGCCUCGGGAAACCGGGAUUAAUACCAAAUGGUCUAAGAUGGACUCGCGUCCCAUUAGCUCGUUGGUGAGGUAACGGCCCAACAAGGCGACGAUGGGUAACCGGCGCAGGAGGGGGAACGGCAACAUUGGAGCUGAGAAACGGUCCAAACUCUGCGGGAGGCGGCAGUGGGGGAUAUUGCACAAUGGAGGGAACUCUGAUGCACCGAGGCCGCGAGAACGAAGAAGGCUUUCGAGUCGUAAAGUUCUUUUAUAUGGGAAGCGGUACCAUAAGAAAAAGCGCCGGCUAACUACGUGCCAGCAGCCGCGGUAAUAC
Molecule: ribosomal RNA, 407 nt
Filed under: uncultured bacterium
Lineage: Bacteria
Description: partial 16S ribosomal RNA
Rfam family: Bacterial small subunit ribosomal RNA
Source: RNAcentral